GGGCCCGCACAAGCGGUGGAGUAUGUGGUUUAAUUCGAUGCAACGCGAAGAACCUUACCAGGGUUUGACAUCCUGCGAAUUUCUGGGAAACCGGAAAGUGCCUUCGGGAGCGCAGUGACAGGUGGUGCAUGGCUGUCGUCAGCUCGUGUCGUGAGAUGUUGGUUAAGUCCCGCAACGAGCGCAACCCACGUCUUUAGUUGCCAGCAUUUAGUUGGGCACUCUAGAGAGACUGCCGGUGAUAAACCGGAGGAAGGUGUGGAUGACGUCAAGUCAUCAUGCCCCUUACAUCCUGGGCUACACACGUACUACAAUGCUACGGACAAAGGGCAGCAAGUUCGCGAGGACAAG
This 348-nucleotide ribosomal RNA is filed under the name uncultured bacterium. Its description in RNAcentral is "bacterial SSU rRNA". It matches the Rfam family "Bacterial small subunit ribosomal RNA", at positions 917 to 1267 of the family's 1533-position model. The record is from RNAcentral.